Long non-coding RNA from Etheostoma cragini (Arkansas darter), 268 nucleotides. RefSeq lists it as uncharacterized. The transcript has 3 exons. NCBI's taxonomy places the organism in Eukaryota, Metazoa, Chordata, Actinopteri, Perciformes, Percidae. The record is from RefSeq and is a predicted model, not a curated record.
CCAGCGCAAAAUGAACCUAGGGGUUAAUAACACAUAGGUACAGAGGUGACCGUUCUCUGGGAUAUGUUUUCAUGCUAAUCAAAUGUGACCAGCUUUAGCGCAAACCGCUAAUUAGCUUGUAACACUAGCAGUCGGGGCACAGGUAAAGGAAAAAGAAAUAGCUAUUUCUCUACCACAAACAAGGUCCAAACUAGCACCACACUUCAACUGUAGCAUAAUGGGGGUCCCUGCAUGUAAACCGAAGCAUUCAGCACUUUAUAAUUGUACA